CCCUACCCCCCGGCACACACUUGGGCGCGCGGAUCCGGUGCCCGGGCUGGGGGUGGGCGCGCGCCCACCACCACCACCCCCGCCUCGGCGUGUUCGCGUCUGGGUGGUUCCCGUGGUGCCCGGCCCGCGGCUUGUUUACGAGCAUCCCAUUAGUCACCGGUUCUCGGGAAGUUGAAAUCGUCUGUUUGGAUGUAACAGGAGAAAGGGGAGGACGAGCGGGCGGAGAAGACUGCAGUUUUCACCGUGCCGGGAAGAGGGCGGGCUCCGGCGAGCCGAGCCGGGUCCCUGCGGCCGCGGCCCGCCCCUCGCCGGCCCCCGGCCCCGCGCGCCGAGGCGCGGGAGUGGGCGUCUCCGGACCUGCGCGCCCGCAGCGGGUGCCGCGUGAAAGAUGCCCUUGGAUGCUUUAGAUAUUUCCAUCUACGUGGCUUCUGUGACUUUCAAAGUCGAUUACAAAUAAGGACCUACCAUAUAACGCGUCUCCUAAAUGACUGUGAGGGCUGCUGCUGAGGGUGGGAGGCCCCGAGUUCAGAUCUCAGCAGGCUACUAAUCCUGCGGAAACUAAAAAGGCUAUAGACGCAAGCCUUGGUCGGGUUUUUUGGUUUGUUUUUAAUUGUGUCUUCAUGAAAUAAUUUUGAAACAAAAAAAAAAUUUUUUUUUAACUGCUGGAAGUUUACCUUUGAAUGCCGUCUAUACCUUACAAAAGUGUUCGUUUUCAAUGUCAUGGAGUCUUACAUUUAAGAAUAAUAAUUUAAGAUUGUAAUUUUUGAAAGAGUGAUAAAUAUUUUAACAUGUUUGUAAAAAUGGGACCUGAAAAUUCUGCUAGUUAAUAUUAUGGGCCAAGAGAUCCCUA
This is a long non-coding RNA of Cervus elaphus (red deer), 850 nucleotides long. RefSeq lists it as uncharacterized. NCBI's taxonomy places the organism in Eukaryota, Metazoa, Chordata, Mammalia, Artiodactyla, Cervidae. The transcript is spliced from 2 exons. The record is from RefSeq and is a predicted model, not a curated record.